UACGUAGGGUGCAAGCGUUAAUCGGAAUUACUGGGCGCAAAGCGUACGCAGGCGGCUUUGCAAGACAGGUGUGAAAUCCCCGGGCCUAACCUGGGAACUGCAUUUGUGACUGCAUCGCUAGAGUCUGUCAGAGGGGGGUGGAAUUCCACGUGUAGCAGUGAAAUGCGUAGAGAUGUGGAAGAACACCGAUGGCGAAGGCAGCCCCCUGGGAUGAGACUGACGCUCAUGUACGAAAGCGUGGGGAGCAAACAGG
Molecule: ribosomal RNA, 253 nt
Filed under: uncultured bacterium
Lineage: Bacteria
Description: partial 16S ribosomal RNA
Rfam family: Bacterial small subunit ribosomal RNA
Source: RNAcentral